This 112-nucleotide ribosomal RNA is filed under the name Periophthalmus magnuspinnatus. Lineage: Eukaryota; Metazoa; Chordata; Actinopteri; Gobiiformes; Gobiidae. The record is from RNAcentral.
ACAUGUGGACAAAACUUCUUGUCAAACCCUCAUCACAUCUCAUAAACUAAGCAGGGCAGGGCCUGGUUAGUACUUGGAUUGGAAACCACUGGGGAUACGAGGUACCACAGUU